CUUAAUACAACCUAAAAAAAGGGAAAACUUACUAUUGCGAAAUUCAAAAUUUUUUCAACGAAAUAGAAGAUUUAGUGAAUGAAAGACAAGACGAUAAAGAUGAUGGUGAUGGUGGUGAUGGUGAUGUUUAUAAUGUAGGAGUAGAAAAACAGCUUAGCAAAAAAGGUGAUGAAUUAAUUGAAAAAAAAAAAAACGACAAUAAAUUGUCAGUACAAUCUAAAAUCCAUUUAUUCCUUGAAGAAAUAAAUUUUAUUAAAGAAGUUCUUGAUACAUAUGAAAAAGAAAAUAAACAUAAUAAAAAUAAUAAUGACAAAUGUAAAAAUAAUGAAAUGACAGAAAAAUCAGAUGACAUUUUAAAGGAUGUAAUUUACUUAGAAUUAGGUCUAAAAGAAUCAGAAAGUACAAGCGAUGUUAACAAAUUACUAUUAAAAAUAAGUGAGAAUUUAUGCAGUAUAAAGAAUAAGGAUUUUAUAAUAGCUACCAAAAAAUCGCUAGAUAUCAGAAUAGAAGAUUUUCGAAGAAAUGAAAUAAGUGAAUCAUACUUUUUAAAAAAAAUAAACGAAAUAUAUACGAACACAUUGAAUGAAUUAGAUAUAGAAAAAAAUGCAGACGAUAAGAAGUCUAACGAAUAUGUAGUAGAUAAAUCGAAAAGUACAUUGUUGGAUGAUUUAUCGCAGAAUAUGUUAAAUGUGCCAUUACCAGUAAAGGACACAGUGGAUACAAAUUAUAAUGAACCACCUGUUUAUUUAAUAUCCAAAAAUAUAAGUACGGAAGGAGAAAGUAAAAGAAGUGAUAAAUACCCAGAGAAAAAAAAAAAAAAAAAAAAUAGGAUGGAGCCAAAACUAGAGUCGUCUAACUUCCUUCAUAAAAAAAAGGUAUACAAUAUUUUUAUCUACUGUAAUAUGUAAAUAAUUUUAACUAGUCUUAGGAUAGUAUAUACGUGGCACAAGUGUUAAUGUAUGUACGUAUGUAUAUACUGACUUUUUUAUUUUUUAUUUUUCCCUUCUUGUAGUUGAAGUUAGUAGAACGAUGGAAAAAAGUUGCCGCAGAAACGAAUUUAGUUGAAGAUUCUGAUUAAAAAUGUCAAAUUUAUAUUAUAAAAUGUGUUUAGAGUAUUACAUCACAAAUUUUUUUAGUAUUAUUUGAUGUUGUAUAUGGGAGUAACCGUUUGUUCAACAUAUUUGCGCAGUUUUUUAUACAUAUACAUGCACGUACAUGUAUACAUAUAAUAUAUAUAUAUAUAGUAAACAAAAUUGCAACAUGAAGUUGUUUAAAUGUUAUAAACUUAUUUAUAUAUAUAUAUAUAUAUAUAUUUAUGCUUAUAUUUAUAACAGAACUUCGUAUUUAUUUUAUUUGAAAUAAUAUGUAUCUCAGUUUACACAAUUUUCUUAAAAAAAAAAAUAUAUAUAUAUAUAAUAUAUAUAUAUAUAUUUUUUUUCUAUUUUAAAGAUAUAACAUUUCGUAUACAUUUUUUUGUAAAUAGUUUAUUGUCACAUUUUUAAUUUUUUUUUUUUUUUUUUUUUUUUGUAUAUAUGUGUAUUUUUUUUUUUUUUUUUUUCAUUCUUUUUUUAUUUUAAGCUAUGAAAAUUUGACAUAAAUACAUGUGCUUAUUACUUAUUAACAUAUAUGUAAUUUAUUUUCUUGUUUUUACAUUAUUUCAUAUACAUAUGUGUUUUUUUAUUUUUUUAUAACAUUAUCAAGCAUAAAACUUUAUUCAAGCACAAGUGUCAACUAUGGAUAUAUGUAAUAUGUUUGGCCUCCAACUGUUUUAUAAAUGAUUUAUUACAUAUUACCCUCAUUAAUUCGUUAAUUAUUAUUAUAAUUAUUAUUAUAA
Piliocolobus tephrosceles (Ugandan red Colobus) is the source of this 1834-nucleotide long non-coding RNA. NCBI's taxonomy places the organism in Eukaryota, Metazoa, Chordata, Mammalia, Primates, Cercopithecidae. The record is from Ensembl.